This 492-nucleotide ribosomal RNA is filed under the name uncultured bacterium. RNAcentral describes it as "partial 16S ribosomal RNA". It matches the Rfam family "Bacterial small subunit ribosomal RNA", at positions 29 to 507 of the family's 1533-position model. The record is from RNAcentral.
AGUGAACGCUGGCGGUAUGCCUAACACAUGCAAGUCGAACGGCAGCACAGUAAGAUCUUGCUCUUACGGGUGGCGAGUGGCGGACGGGUGAGGAAUACAUCGGAAUCUACUUUUUCGGGGGGGAUAACGUAGGGAAACUUACUCUAAUACCGCAUACGACCUACGGGUGAAAGCAGGGGAUAUUCGGACCGUGCGCGAUUGGAUGAGCCGAUGUCGGAUUAGCUAGUUGGCGGGGUAAAGGCCCACCCAGGCGACGAUCCGUAGCUGGUCUGAGAGGAUGAUAACCCGCAUUGGAACUGGGACACGGUCCAGACUACUACGGGAGGCAGCAGUGGGGAAUAUUGGACAAUGGGGGCAAGCAUGACCCAGCCAUCCCGCGUGGGUGAAGAAGGCGUUCGGGUUGUAAAGCCCUUUUGUUGGGAAAGAAAAGCAGCAGGUUAAUACCCCGCUGUUCUGACGGUACCCAAAGAAUAAGCACCGGCUAACUUCGUG